AUUGAACGCUGGCGGCAGGCCUAACACAUGCAAGUCGAACGAGUGGCGGACGGGUGAGUAAUGUAUGGGAAACUGCCCGAUGGGGGGGGAUAACUACUGGAAACGGUAGCUAAUACCGCAUACCCUCGGAUGUGCCCAGAUGGGAUUGGCUCGUAGGGGGGGUAAUGGCUCAACUAGGCGACGAUCCCUAGCUGGUAUGUGAGGAUGACCGGCCAAACUGGGACUGAGACACGGUCCAGACUCCUACGUGAGGCAGCAGUGGGGAAUAUUGCACAAUGGGCGCAAGCCUGAUGCAGCCAUGCCGCGUGUAUGAAGAAGGCCUUCGGGUUGUAAAGUACUUUCAGCGAGGAGGCGUUACUCGCAGAAGAAGCACCGGCUAACUCCGUGCCAGCAGCCGCGGUAAUAC
RNAcentral lists this ribosomal RNA (406 nucleotides) under uncultured bacterium. RNAcentral's name for it is "partial 16S ribosomal RNA". It matches the Rfam family "Bacterial small subunit ribosomal RNA", at positions 30 to 526 of the family's 1533-position model. The record is from RNAcentral.